GCCAUAUCACAUUAAAACACCAGUUCCAUACAUUCACUGAAAUUAAGCAACAUUGAGCCUGGUAAGUACUUAGAUGGGUGGCCACUUGGGAAUACCAGGUGCUGUAAG
Acanthosepion pharaonis is the source of this 108-nucleotide non-coding RNA. The record is from the annotation of a GenBank genome assembly. Lineage: Eukaryota; Metazoa; Mollusca; Cephalopoda; Sepiida; Sepiidae.